Bombus pascuorum is the source of this 473-nucleotide long non-coding RNA. RefSeq lists it as uncharacterized. NCBI's taxonomy places the organism in Eukaryota, Metazoa, Arthropoda, Insecta, Hymenoptera, Apidae. The transcript has 3 exons. The record is from RefSeq and is a predicted model, not a curated record.
GUGAAAAUCGUGUGAUAAAGCAUGUUCAUAAAACAUUUUAGAAAAAAUCAACUAUGAAUUUCUGUCUCGUUGUCAGUGAAGUGCAAGUGUAUUUAACGGCAAUAGAAAUUGUUACAUUACGAAGCUUAGGAAAUCUUAUCUACAAAUUAUGUAUUGCUGAUAUUUAAGUCGGCUGAGACUGAUAAUAUCUUUCUCGUGAAUAGAGAAGAGGAACGCUUGCUAAUGGUAAAGAUAAAACGAACCAAACGGUGUUCCGUGGACUAUGUACCUCCUGUGAUAAUCAAAAUACUCGUAAAGAUCUUGGAAUUGGUUCUGUUUCGCUUCGCAUCUACUUGAAAGUAAACUUUCAUAUUUCAAAUAUAAUAUAAUAAUGUAAGCUGGUAAUAUUAUAAGACUGCAGCGAUUACCGACGCGAGAAAAGUAAUCUACAGUCGAUUAGAAGAUAUGGAUAUCCGUAGAAAAUUCGAAUUUAA